GACGAACGCUGGCGGCGUGCUUAACACAUGCAAGUCGAACGGAAAGGCCCUGCUUUUGUGGGGUGCUCGAGUGGCGAACGGGUGAGUAACACGUGAGUAACCUGCCCUUGACUUUGGGAUAACUUCAGGAAACUGGGGCUAAUACCGGAUAGGAGCUCCUGCUGCAUGGUGGGGGUUGGAAAGUUUCGGCGGUUGGGGAUGGACUCGCGGCUUAUCAGCUUGUUGGUGGGGUAGUGGCUUACCAAGGCUUUGACGGGUAGCCGGCCUGAGAGGGUGACCGGCCCCAUUGGGACUUAGGUACGGCCCAGACCCCUACGGGAGGCAGCAGUGGGGAAUAUUGCACCAUGGGCGGAAGCCUGAUGCAGCAACGCCGCGGGCGGGAUGACGGCCUUCGGGUUGUAAACCGCUUUCGCUCAUGACGAAGCUUUGUGUGACGGUAGUGGGUAAAGAAGCACCGGCUAACUACGUG
This 469-nucleotide ribosomal RNA is filed under the name uncultured bacterium. RNAcentral's name for it is "partial 16S ribosomal RNA". It matches the Rfam family "Bacterial small subunit ribosomal RNA", at positions 28 to 507 of the family's 1533-position model. The record is from RNAcentral.